UUAGGCUUUGAUUAUGAGCUUAUGGGAAAGGCAAAUUCGUUGGCUAGAGGUUGAGAGAGUGUAGCUAGAGAGUUUAGAAAAUAUUAGAGUGUGUUUUCAUUAUUUCUCCUUCAAUCUCUAUAUAUAGACCCUUAGAUUGCCUUGGAUGCUGAUAUGGCUGGUAAUUAUAGAGCUCAAAGGACAAUAAUAGAGUGGUUGGCCGGAUUUGGUGGAUUAGUAGCAAUGAUACACAAUUAUUUCACCAAUAAUGCACUAAAGUGGACAAAAGGGCAAAAUGGUAAUUUCCCCUCCAAUAAUUGAUUUCUUCCUUUAAUAAUGCACAAGGGUAGUUUAGACUUCUCAUGUCUACCAUGAAGGGCAUUUUAGACAUUGGCCAUAACCAUUAGGGUUUAUCACUUUAGAUUUUAAAAUUCCAUAAAUAAUAUAACUAAUAAUACACUAAAAGGGUAUUUUGGUAAUUUCACAUAUAAUUUCAUGGGCAUUUUUGUACAUAGCAAUUAAAUGUAGUAUUUAAUCACUAGAUGGUAAU
RNAcentral lists this long non-coding RNA (529 nucleotides) under Panax ginseng (ginseng). RNAcentral's name for it is "long non-coding RNA (PGIN_LNC006233)". The record is from RNAcentral. Lineage: Eukaryota; Viridiplantae; Streptophyta; Magnoliopsida; Apiales; Araliaceae.